GCUGAAAGGGCCACGUUUGUUUUCAUUACAAGUAAGACCACCGAGUGGGCUCCUGGCGUGGGGGCGGGAGCAGCCGCGCGCAGUCUUCAGAGGCAGCCCCCCAGGCUGUCUCUGGAGGGUGUGUCUCUGCUUCCCUUUCCCCUUGUUUAUUUUUAGACGAAGCCAAGUGGCCCGGGUGGACCCUCUGGACUCCCAGCCUUCAGAGGGGAGGGCAGCUCGGGCUUUCGCCCCAGUGCUUCCUGCCCGUCACGUGUGUGUUCCUAGCCGGGGUCGGGAGAGCUGGUAUCUUGGCCCUUCUGGGAGGACGCGCACAGCCCGAGGAGGGAGAGCCGCAGACGGGAAUGGGCUUUUCAGAGGUGGGGUGCGGGCGAGGGGACGAUGCAUUAUUUUUAAUAUUUGAUUUAUUUUUCCAACUGAGCUUCUUCCCGGGGCUCUUUCUGGGCCCAGCUGCCUUUGUGAUCCCGCGCCCCGGCCCUCGGCCUCUCACCUCCAGCGCCGGGGCGCCCCCUGCUGUCGGAAGCGGCUGUGACCGAGCAGAGGUGCUAUCUGGGACUCUGGGUUCUCAGCCCGGGGACAGCGAACCGAGGGGCAGAUGAUCCAUCAGAAAAGAGCCGGCACUGCCCAGCCCCGCGCCCCUGCCCCUGCCUUUUUCCGGGAGCGCGCCGCGCCGCACCCCCUACGGCCGCUUGACCCCAUCUUUGAGCCCGGCCCCAGGCUCUGGGACCGUCGUGCCCCUCAUCAAGGAAGAGCCAAGGAUCCCAAGGAGAAGGUCAGGAGCCGCGAUGUGGAGGUCCCUUGGCUGCAGGCCCCGCCGCGCUCUCCCUCUAGUCCUUGCCUUCUCUAGGGACCAGGUAGCACCAGUCCCUGGAUCUCGGCCUUGUCUCCGUGUGCCCUGCUCCCCACCCCAUCUGCUAAGAACCAAGUCUGGUUCACCGGCUCCCAAGAGCUGGAACCCAUUCUCAGCUAGCUGGGGGCCCAGGCCACCCCUUCCCUCCCGACCUGUGUGCCUUCUGCGCUGACUCCAGGGCCCCCCACACCGUGACCAGGGCAGGUUCCCUAUGGGGCUGGCCAGUCGGCACCGUGCCAGGCCCACAGUGCCCUGGGCGUCCAUGGAAGUCGUUCUGUGUCUUUAAAAUCAGAAGGAAGACAUUAACCUUUAGGCUGAAGAAAAUGUUUUAGUAGACAGCAUUAACUUAUUUAUCUUUAUCCAACAGCCAUAAAAUAUAACUUUAAAUAUUCUAUUGAUAGAGAAAGGAGUUCAUGAAGGCAGAAAUGCCUGGGGCCCACAAACAUCCCAGUGUGGCCCUGGACGGGACAUCAUGCUGGCCAACAGAGCUAAAAUGCGGGUGAAGACCAGAUUUCUUGCACAUGGCGGUGACGGGAUGCUCCCUAGAGAGCUUCAUGUGGCUUCUUUGCUUUUUAUUUUCUCUCUUAAUAAAAAUGUAUGAUGUUUACAUUGUCAGAGAACAAACAGAA
RNAcentral lists this long non-coding RNA (1476 nucleotides) under Pongo abelii (Sumatran orangutan). RNAcentral's name for it is "lincRNA". The record is from RNAcentral. Lineage: Eukaryota; Metazoa; Chordata; Mammalia; Primates; Hominidae.